RNAcentral lists this ribosomal RNA (405 nucleotides) under uncultured bacterium. RNAcentral's name for it is "bacterial SSU rRNA". It matches the Rfam family "Bacterial small subunit ribosomal RNA", at positions 30 to 435 of the family's 1533-position model. The record is from RNAcentral.
AUUGAACGCUGGCGGCAUGCCUUACACAUGCAAGUCGAACGGCAGCACGGGAGCAAUCCUGGUGGCGAGUGGCGAACGGGUGAGUAAUAUAUCGGAACGUGCCCGGUCGUGGGGGAUAACGUAGCGAAAGCUACGCUAAUACCGCAUACGAUCUACGGAUGAAAGCGGGGGGAUCGCAAGACCUCGCGCGAUUGGAGCGGCCGAUAUCAGAUUAGGUAGUUGGUGAGGUAAAGGCUCACCAAGCCGGCGAUCUGUAGCUGGUCUGAGAGGACGACCAGCCACACUGGGACUGAGACACGGCCCAGACUCCUACGGGAGGCAGCAAGUGGGGGAAUUUUGGACAAUGGGCGCAAGCCUGAUCCAGCAAUNCCGCGUGCAGGAUGAAGCCUUCGGUUGUUAACGUAG